GACGAACGCUGGCGGCGGGCCUAAUACAUGCAAGUAGAACGCACAGUCUAUACCGUAGCUCGCUACACCAUAGACUGUGAGUUGCGAACGGGAGAGUAACGCGUAUGUAAUCUUCCGGGGAGCGGGGGAUAACUAUUGUAAACGAUAGCUAAUACCGCAUAAUAGUAAUUAAUGCAGGAUAAUUAAUUGAAUGGUCCAAUGGCACCACUACCAGAUGAACCUGCGUUUUAUUAGCUAGUAGGUGAGGUAACGGCUCACCUAGGCGACGAUACAUAGCCGACCUUAGAGGGUGAUCGGCCCACAUGGGACUGAGAACCCGCCCCGACUCCUAAGGGAGGCAGCAGUAGGGAAUCAUCGGCAAUGGACGAAAGUCUGAACGCGCAACGACGGGUGAGUGAAGAAAGGUUUCGGAUUGUAAAGCUCUGUUGUAAGAGAAGAAAGGGUGUGAGAGUGGAAAGCUCACAUUGUGACGGUAUCUUAACAGAAAGGGACGGCUAACUACGUG
RNAcentral lists this ribosomal RNA (505 nucleotides) under uncultured bacterium. Its description in RNAcentral is "partial 16S ribosomal RNA". It matches the Rfam family "Bacterial small subunit ribosomal RNA", at positions 28 to 507 of the family's 1533-position model. The record is from RNAcentral.